GAUGAACGCUGGCGGCGUGCCUAAUACAUGCAAGUCGAGCGAACAGACGAGGAGCUUGCUCCUCUGACGUUAGCGGCGGACGGGUGAGUAACACGUGGAUAACCUACCUAUAAGACUGGGAUAACUUCGGGAAACCGGAGCUAAUACCGGAUAAUAUAUUGAACCGCAUGGUUCAAUAGUGAAGGACGGUUUUGCUGUCACUUAUAGAUGGAUCCGCGCCGCAUUAGCUAGUUGGUAAGGUAACGGCUUACCAAGGCAACGAUGCGUAGCCGACCUGAGAGGGUGAUCGGCCACACUGGAACUGAGACACGGUCCAGACUCCUACGGGAGGCAGCAGUAGGGAAUCUUCCGCAAUGGGCGAAAGCCUGACGGAGCAACGCCGCGUGAAUGAUGAAGGUCUUCGGAUCGUAAAACUCUGUUAUUAGGGAAGAACAAAUGUGUAAGUAACUAUGCACGUCUUGACGGUACCUAAUCAGAAAGCCACGGCUAACUACGUG
RNAcentral lists this ribosomal RNA (497 nucleotides) under uncultured bacterium. RNAcentral's name for it is "partial 16S ribosomal RNA". It matches the Rfam family "Bacterial small subunit ribosomal RNA", at positions 28 to 507 of the family's 1533-position model. The record is from RNAcentral.